UGAUUUCUCUCCUCUCUUUCCUUUCUAUUCUUCUUUUUCCCUUUUCUAUUUCCUAUUUUCUGUUUCUGUUCAUAACAAAUGUAUCAGAGCUUCAACGGUUCUCUAUGGUUGGGGAUGGUGUCAAAAGGAUGUGGGCGUUUUGCAGCAGGAGAUAGUGAAGAUCAAAAGAGAGUUGUCCCAACUACGGUGAUUCAAAGAUUUCAAGGAUGAGCUCAUGGGUGAGCUACGGUCCAACUUUCAUUCCUUAUUUGAGUGAUAUUUUGGGCACUCACAUACUGCC
Molecule: long non-coding RNA, 280 nt
Filed under: Gossypium raimondii (Peruvian cotton)
Lineage: Eukaryota; Viridiplantae; Streptophyta; Magnoliopsida; Malvales; Malvaceae
Description: long non-coding RNA (GRAI_LNC009855)
Source: RNAcentral